This 73-nucleotide transfer RNA is filed under the name Dictyocaulus viviparus (bovine lungworm). It matches the Rfam family "tRNA". Rfam says of the family: Transfer RNA (tRNA) molecules are approximately 80 nucleotides in length. Their secondary structure includes four short double-helical elements and three loops (D, anti-codon, and T loops). The record is from Rfam by way of RNAcentral. Lineage: Eukaryota; Metazoa; Nematoda; Chromadorea; Rhabditida; Metastrongylidae.
GUUUCGGUAGUAUAAUAAAUAAGCACGACAGACCUGGUAUCUGUAAGUGCGGGUUCGAAUCCUGCCUGAAAUU